RNAcentral lists this ribosomal RNA (442 nucleotides) under uncultured bacterium. RNAcentral describes it as "partial 16S ribosomal RNA". It matches the Rfam family "Bacterial small subunit ribosomal RNA", at positions 338 to 795 of the family's 1533-position model. The record is from RNAcentral.
CCUACGGGGGGCAGCAGUGGGGAAUAUUGCGCAAUGGGCGAAAGCCUGACCCAGCAACGCCGCGUGAAGGAAGAAGGCUUUCGGGUUGUAAACUUCUUUUGUCAGGGAAGAGUAGAAGACGGUACCUGACGAAUAAGCCACGGCUAACUACGUGCCAGCAGCCGCGGUAAUACGUAGGUGGCAAGCGUUGUCCGGAUUUACUGGGUGUAAAGGGCGUGUAGCCGGGUUGACAAGUCAGAUGUGAAAUCCUGCGGCUUAACCGCAGAACUGCAUGUGAAACUGUUGAUCUUGAGUACUGGAGAGGCAGACGGAAUUCCUAGUGUAGCGGUGAAAUGCGUAGAUAGUAGGAGGAACACCAGUGGCGAAGGCGGUCUGCUGGACAGCAACUGACGGUGAGGCGCGAAAGCGUGGGGAGCAAACAGGAUUAGAUACCCUAGUAGUC